Molecule: unclassified non-coding RNA, 299 nt
Filed under: Hevea brasiliensis (rubber tree)
Lineage: Eukaryota; Viridiplantae; Streptophyta; Magnoliopsida; Malpighiales; Euphorbiaceae
Source: RNAcentral
GGUGGAUUGCGCCAGUACGACAAGUGUUGCUUCCAUAAGCAAGCCAUGCAUUGUACCAGAAAUGACUGGGAGUACUGUGUGGGAAAGUACAUGUCCUUUGAACCAGGAGCAGGCGUGCUUAAUUCCUCAAUAAGUGCUUUGUUUCUCCUAUAUUGUUCUGAAUUUCUAUAUGCAACUGCAAAAUCUAUCCCCAGAACUGUUUCUUGAGCUGAAGUAGUAACUUCCAACAUCCAAGUUGCUGGGUUGUAACCAUCUUUAAUGUUGGCUACACCUUCAAUUCCCUCAAAAUACUUGAUUAG